RNAcentral lists this small nucleolar RNA (138 nucleotides) under Ornithorhynchus anatinus (platypus). The record is from RNAcentral. Lineage: Eukaryota; Metazoa; Chordata; Mammalia; Monotremata; Ornithorhynchidae.
CCCCUCUCAGGGUCACACCUGGAGAGUUUCCAGUACUCUACCAGUCUUGACUACAGGAGGGAGAGUCAGGAAGAGGCAUAUCCAUUCCAUUCCUAGCUUGGGCAGUGGCUAGCGAGUGGAAGGCAAUCUCCUACAAGU